ACGAACGCUGGCGGCGUGCUUCACACAUGCCAGUCGAACGGAAAGGCCCUGCUUUUGUGGGGUGCUCGAGUGGCGAACGGGUGAGUAACACGUGAGUAACCUGCCCUUGACUUUGGGAUAACUUCAGGAAACUGGGGCUAAUACCGGAUAGGAGCUCCUGCUGCAUGGUGGGGGUUGGAAAGUUUCGGCGGUUGGGGAUGGACUCGCGGCUUAUCAGCUUGUUGGUGGGGUAGUGGCUUACCAAGGCUUUGACGGGUAGCCGGCCUGAGAGGGUGACCGGCCACAUUGAGACUGAGAUACGGCCCAGACUCCUACGGGAGGCAGCAGUGGGGAAUAUUGCACAAUGGGCGGAAGCCUGAUGCAGCAACGCCGCGUGCGGGAUGACGGCCUUCGGGUUGUAAACCGCUUUCGCCUGUGACGAAGCGUGAGUGACGGUAAUGGGUAAAGAAGCACCGGCUAACUACGUG
This 467-nucleotide ribosomal RNA is filed under the name uncultured bacterium. RNAcentral's name for it is "partial 16S ribosomal RNA". It matches the Rfam family "Bacterial small subunit ribosomal RNA", at positions 29 to 507 of the family's 1533-position model. The record is from RNAcentral.